Molecule: non-coding RNA, 72 nt
Organism: Ictidomys tridecemlineatus (thirteen-lined ground squirrel)
Lineage: Eukaryota; Metazoa; Chordata; Mammalia; Rodentia; Sciuridae
Source: Rfam
GGGGAUGUAGCUCAGAGGCAGAGCACUUGCCUAGCAUGAGCAAGGCCCUGGGUUCAAUCCCCAGCAGCACCC